CCUACGGGGUGCAGCAGUGAGGAAUAUUGGUCAAUGGUCGGGAGACUGAACCAGCCAAGCCGCGUGAGGGAGGAAGGUACAGAGUAUCGUAAACCUCUUUUGUCAGGGAACAAAGACUGGGACGCGUCCCCGGAUGAGUGUACCUGAAGAAAAAGCAUCGGCUAACUCCGUGCCAGCAGCCGCGGUAAUACGGAGGAUGCGAGCGUUAGCCGGAUUUAUGGGGUUAAAAGGGUGCGCAGGCGGUCUGUUAAGUCAGCGGUCAAAGCCCGGGGCUCAACCCCGGCCCGCCGUUGAAACUGGCAGUCUCGAGUUGGAGAGAAGUAUGCGGAAUGCGCGGUGUAGCGGUGAAAUGCAUAGAUAUCGCGCAGAACUCCGAUUGCGAAGGCAGCAUGCCGGCUCCACACUGACGCUGAGGCACGAAAGCGUGGGUAUCGAACAGGAUUAGAUACCCGAGUAGUC
This 459-nucleotide ribosomal RNA is filed under the name uncultured bacterium. RNAcentral describes it as "partial 16S ribosomal RNA". It matches the Rfam family "Bacterial small subunit ribosomal RNA", at positions 338 to 795 of the family's 1533-position model. The record is from RNAcentral.